GGAGAGGGCUAGCGUUAUUCGGAAUUAUUGGGCGUAAAGGGCGCGUAGGCGGAUUAGUAAGUUAAAAGUGAAAUCCCAAGGCUCAACCUUGGAAUUGCUUUUAAAACUGCUAAUCUAGAGAUUGAAAGAGGAUAGAGGAAUUCCUAGUGUAGAGGUGAAAUUCGUAAAUAUUAGGAGGAACACCAGUGGCGAAGGCGUCUAUCUGGUUCAAAUCUGACGCUGAGGCGCGAAGGCGUGGGGAGCAAACAGGAUUAGAUACCCUGGUAGUCCACGCUGUAAACGAUGAAUGUUAAAUAUGGGGAGUUUACUUUCUGUAUUACAGCUAACGCGUUAAACAUUCCGCCUGGGGACUACGGUCGCAAGAUUAAAACUCAAAGGAAUUGACGGGGACCCGCACAAGCGGUGGAGCAUGUGGUUUAAUUCGAUGCAACGCGAAAAACCUUACCACUCCUUGACAUGGAAAUUAUACCUAUUCGAAGGGAUAGGGUCGGUUCGGCCGGGUUUCACACAGGUGU
RNAcentral lists this ribosomal RNA (515 nucleotides) under bacterium symbiont of Megymenum gracilicorne. Its description in RNAcentral is "bacterial SSU rRNA". It matches the Rfam family "Bacterial small subunit ribosomal RNA", at positions 527 to 1041 of the family's 1533-position model. The record is from RNAcentral.